CAAUAAAGCCCGUUUUGAUAACUUAUGUGUACACUACUAGCCGAUCGGCAUAAUCGUGUAAAGUUACGUUCAUUUGGACUAAUGUAGAAUCCUUUUGACAGAUCUGAAAAAUUCGGAAAUUUCCAUUUACUUAUAAAGAAGUGUAAUUGAGACAUUAAGCCAGUCAAAGAACUAGUGGAACCAACAAAUUCAGCACCGAUAGAAUUUGCGACUUUUUGUAAUUGUUCAUCUUCGGAAGGAGGACGAAACUUACUUAAAAGGCCAAAAUUAAAUUUAUCAACUGGCAAGAUUUUUGACAAGUAUUCAUCCCAUUUAUAGUCAUUAGUCUUCGGAUCACGAAGAAACUGGAAUUUCUUUUUAGGUAAUACAGUGUCCAAAUGGUGCUGUAAGUUGCCUAUUGACUCUUUGUCCACAACGUUGACUUCUACAAAAAUAAAUUAGUUAGUCUGACUUGCAGCGCUCAAUAUACUUACUUUCAAAGGCAGACGCUUUAGAGUGUAAAACGUUGUCUGCAGCUUUAAUAUUACAACUAUUAAUUUGAAAACCUUUAUGUAAGCAUUUUUUCAAAUUAUAAACAGAUCGACGACCGAAAUUCUUUUUUUUAUAAAUCAACAUAACACCAAUUGGUAAAUGUCGAGUUAUACUUAAUGGUUUAAAUGAUGACAGAAAAUUUAAUUCAAACCAAAACUAAGGAAUACAAAAACUACCUCCAUAUCUUUGGAAGUACGAGGGUUGGGUGAACUUACGGUGUUGAGUACUUCGCAGGUGUUAGUAUAUGAAGUCGAAAACUAGUGAAAUGCUAUUGAAAAUAAUCGAGCAUUAAUUCAUUAAAUUACUAUAAAUAUUCAUUAAAUAAUACAGAAAAUCAUUGUAUAAUUGGAAAUGUUCAGAGUUUAGUCAGCCUAAUAUGUUAGUACUCGCCUUUUUCCACUCAUUAACGACCCAUUCAAAAUUAACAAAUUUGGGUUCAAUUUGAUAUCUAUUUGGUUAACCAACAACUCAUACUUCUUUCUUUUUGUUUAGCUACUUACAGUUCGCACGCCUUUGUUAGUUGUUCUAAACGAGUUGAAUCUUCCACAAACAUUACCACGUGUGUCAAUUUUUUUGAAGAAAUAUCUUUCUCUAUUGUAGCUCCGUUCCAUAGCAAUAUACAUUUGGUUAAGCGGUAUUGCCCCAUUCGAACAUCAUACAACUCAGAAUUUUCGAUUCCUUUCAAAUCUAAGAAUACUGUAAACUUUAAAAAAGGAAAGGCACCAACAAAACUGGCUUCUUCCUUCGAAAUUGUAAGAUUCAAAAUAGAAGUGUCAUCGGAAAUUUUUGAGUACUCUUUACUCAAGUCCAGCUGUUUCAAUUCCACCAAUAAAUUAGACAAGGAUUUCGCACUCAAGGACUCCAAUGCUGUCUUCCAUGAAUAUUUUUCAUCUUUAGAAAAGAGAAGACUAAUUGGUUAGAGAAUAAGCAAACUUAUCUGUACUUACUAUGACCAUUGUGGCAUUAAGCGUUGAUUAUUUACACUGUCCAUUACCCAUUGAGAUCGAAUAAUAGUACACAUGUUUUUGCUCCGCUCGAUAGAAACCCUAGUAGAUACUGUUGUAAGCAAUGCACAAGCAAAGUGAUAUCUUACCUCUGUCGGCAACUAAAAAUAACCUUUCUUUCCCAAAAUUUCCAACACCCUGAUGAAUUAAACCUCCGUUUUCGAUUAUUAUUUGUUGCAAACCGGCUUUAGUUUCAUGCAAUUCUGUUGGAGGCAGGACGACUAAAGAGUUAGAAAAUGUCUAAACAUAAUCACCUACCAAAAUGUAAGUUUUUC
Schizosaccharomyces pombe (fission yeast) is the source of this 1810-nucleotide non-coding RNA. The record is from the annotation of a GenBank genome assembly. NCBI's taxonomy places the organism in Eukaryota, Fungi, Ascomycota, Schizosaccharomycetes, Schizosaccharomycetales, Schizosaccharomycetaceae.